Molecule: long non-coding RNA, 1319 nt
Filed under: Musa acuminata (dwarf banana)
Lineage: Eukaryota; Viridiplantae; Streptophyta; Magnoliopsida; Zingiberales; Musaceae
Description: long non-coding RNA (MACU_LNC005145)
Source: RNAcentral
UUCGCUAGGACAAGGAGGCUGGUGGGUCAAUUCUAAAGCUUAUGGAGUUUGCAAGGGACAGAGUGGAGGACAACAAAAGUGUAGCUGAUCGAUAAUGGAGGGUUGAGGAGCUUUCUGUUGCACAUGAGGACGAUGAUCUUGGAGUCUUGCAAGAAGGUGCUGAGGUCAUCUAGGUUAGGGAUGAUUGGGUUUCACCAUCACUUAUUUGUUUGCUUUUGCUUCUUUUGCAUGUUCACUCAGUUGACUUUAUCCAUGGAAUGGCAUCAAAUUGUUUAUAGAUUCCAAUUAUAUUAAUAAUUUGUUAUAUGUUAUAAUCAUGAGAUGAUAGCCACACAACAUUACACUCUUUUUUUUUUACUUUUCAUAAUGUUCAAACUAGAACAAGGAGGGCAGCCUACAUGAUGAACAAUGCUGCUUGGGGCCAUUGGACUUUGAUCCUUGAUUCUUGCCACUAUUGUACCUAACGAGGUCCAAGAACUUAUCGAUCUUGGUGAGCAGCGGGAGUACUGUAGCAAGUAGAGAUGCACAAGCAGCAAGCUUCUUUGACAACGACGAGACUAUCGUCGGCUAGGGUAGGGAUGUUGGGGUUAUGGGCAUGCAGGUGUAGCGGGCAAGCAGGGUGCCACUGGCGAGCUGGGUUUGGUGCGAUGACGGUGAGCGGUGCAAGUGCGGUUGUUGAGCAGUGCAAGAGCAAUGACGGUCGAGCAAGUCCGAUGUAGUGAUGGCGAGCAGUGCAAGAGAGGUGGCGAUCGCGCAAUGCAGGAGCAACAACGAUUGAGCAAGUCCGGUGCAACGACGACGAGCUUUUGCAUAACUACAACGAUUAAGGUGUACUGUAGGUUCCAUCAAACAUGGGUUUUGUCUCCUGUAAUCUUGUAGUUUUUGCAUAACUACAAGUUGUUCAUUCUUAUCCUUUGUAGUUUUUGUUGUGGCUUUUAUGUUCUAUUAUCAUGUUCAUCUUUUUCCACACCGAGCAUUACACUAAAGUAUAACUGAGAAUGAGAAAUAUAGAUCAUAUUAUUAUUCUAGGUUGCAUCCCGGCACGAUUCACAUCAUCGAGAUUGGCAGCAGGAAGGAAGUACAGAAGGCCAUGUGAUAAGGACCGGUAACACAGCAUUCUGAGGCAACUCGCAUUCAAUGUUCAUCUCGGUGACUCAUGCAUCCAGACAGAAGAAGAUGUUCCUGUCACGAACAGCAGAAUCCGUUCACGAAUUCAUGGUUGCAGAAACUUACUGCACGUUCACCAUUGCUGUGUAGUUGCAGGUAGUGACACUGCAGGAGCUGUUCUUGGUCGAUAGAUGAGUUGUAAUAGAAAUGAU